UAUGGACGCUGGAGAACAACAAUUAGAUGUAUUUUUACCGAAAGACCCAGGCGAGAUGGUUUCCUAUGUGUGCGUCAAUUUAGAAGGCACCCCUAAGGAGAACGCUAUAGUUGACUUCGUGGCGUUUAUGCAGACUGUUACCAUCAAAUUGAGGAGUCCAGCUGAUGAUGAAGUGCAUGUCCACAUUGUAGCCAAAGAGCACGGUUAUUAAAAUUGAUUGAAUUAAAA
This is a long non-coding RNA of Ostrinia nubilalis (European corn borer), 228 nucleotides long. RefSeq lists it as uncharacterized. The transcript is spliced from 2 exons. NCBI's taxonomy places the organism in Eukaryota, Metazoa, Arthropoda, Insecta, Lepidoptera, Crambidae. The record is from RefSeq and is a predicted model, not a curated record.